GCUAAGUAUUUUUCCAUCCCUCUAUCAGCGUUGUAGGAGCAAGAUUUUAAUUAAUUUUGAUGCAACGCAACAAAUUGCUUUCUACAAUUUAGGCCCCUACUUAUCUUGUAAAAAGUCAGUGGCCUUUGGUGAAUAAGGGCGAAGAACCAACAUUAGUGGAAUAUUAUUUUCCAAAAAAGCUUUGUGUAACAAAAGAGUCACAUUUUGACAUGCAGUUCAUCUACUGCUGUGAGAAACACACAAGUCUCUUAAGAGUGGACCUUUUCUGAACGCCUGUUCUAAGUGGCUGGACCAUUAGUAGCAAUCUGCUACUGGAACACAAACAAAAUCUUGUAUGUCUAUCUUGCAGAUAGGAAAGAUGAAACAGUGCAUUCAUGAACCAUCCUGAGCAUGAACGAGAACACUUUUGACCCAGGAUCGAAGAGAAAGAGGAAGAAACUGUAGAUAUGUGCAGUCAGAUUUAAGUUGCAUGGUUGUAGAGAAACUAAAGGCUACUUGUUUCACCCACAUAUAGCCAUUAUACAUGCUGAGGAUCAAAAGCCAAGAGCACUCCACAGCCUGCAGGAAUGGGCUCUGACACAGUGUGCUUCUGCACGAAAACUGCCUUCCUGCACAUCUCAGCUGAUCAAGAAGAAAGUAUGUCUUUCAAAGAGCAAAAAGCUUCACUGCAAACUGAACAAGGUCUUAGGAGACACAUGAAGCCUUCUGAUAAAUGGAGCGUUUGGGUGAUGAAGAGGUGACUUGAAGACUUCGGAUGCUUCACAUUCCUGCUCCUGGAGCACAGUGAAAUAAAGAUGUGUAGUGUAAAUCCUUCCCUGCUAUGAAGUCUAGCUGUCCCAAUGGCCAUGGAUAGACUUCCUGCAGAUGUAAACCAUGGACACCAUCAGACUGUCCCUCACUCCAACUCUUUCAACAUCCCAUACUGAAUUUCUAACCUUUGCUAGCCAUUGAGAUCAUUUCUUGGCACUGACAGAAUAUUAGUGAUUUCCAUAAUUUUUGAAAAAUAUCUUCUGGAAGAUGGUGAGAAGGCACAGAAGGAGAUAACAACCUUUCCCUAGCAGGGAUCAUCAGAACCGGCAUCAUCUUAAUUUACUGAUAUUUUAUGGAACCUAUGAUUUUUUUUUUCUUGCAAGAUAUUAUGCCAGCCAUCCAGCUCAGAUGCUGAUCUUGAACAUCAUGGACAUGAGAUGACAGCCUCAAUCUUGUGAUUAGGGCUGAUCCUUCUGCUCAGUUCCUG
This 1237-nucleotide long non-coding RNA is filed under the name Phasianus colchicus (ring-necked pheasant). RNAcentral describes it as "lncRNA (ENSPCLG00000002008.1)". The record is from RNAcentral. Lineage: Eukaryota; Metazoa; Chordata; Aves; Galliformes; Phasianidae.